CGAGUGAAGCGGCAAGAGCUCAAAUUUGAAAUCUGGCCUCCUUCGGGGGYCCGAGUUGUAAUUUGYAGAGGAUGCUUCGGGUGCGGCCGCCGUCUAAGUUCCUUGGAACAGGACGUCAGAGAGGGUGAGAAUCCCGUCUUGGGCGGGCGGUCCGCGCCCGUGUGAAGCUCCUUCGACGAGUCGAGUUGUUUGGGAAUGCAGCUCUAAGCGGGUGGUAAAUUUCAUCUAAAGCUAAAUAUUGGCCGGAGACCGAUAGCGCACAAGUAGAGUGAUCGAAAGGUUAAAAGCACCUUGAAAAGGGAGUUAAACAGCACGUGAAAUUGUUGAAAGGGAAGCGCUUGCGGCCAGACUCGGGGGCGGGGUUCAGCGGGUGCUCGUCGCCCGUGUAUUCCUCGWUYYCCSGGGCCAGCAUCAGUUUCGACGGCCGGUCAAAGGCCCCCGGAAUGUGUCGUCUCUCGGGACGUCUUAUAGCCGGGGGUGCAAUGCGGCCYGUCGGGACUGAGGAACGCGCUCCGGCUCGGAUGCUGGCGUAAUGGCCGUAAGCGGCCCGUCUUGAAACACGGACCAAGGAGUCUAACAUCCACGCGAGUGUUCGGGUGUCAAACCCGUGCGCGCAGUGAAAGCGAACGGAGGUGGGAGCCUUAGGGCGCACCAUCGACCGAUCCUGAAGUCUUCGGAUGGAUUUGAGUAGGAGCGUGGCCGUUGGGACCCGAAAGAUGGUGAACUAUGCCUGAAUAGGGUGAAGCCAGAGGAAACUCUGGUGGAGGCUCGCAGCGGUUCUGACGUGCAAAUCGAUCGUCGAAUUU
This 806-nucleotide ribosomal RNA is filed under the name Paraphyton cookiellum. Its description in RNAcentral is "eukaryotic LSU rRNA". It matches the Rfam family "Eukaryotic large subunit ribosomal RNA", at positions 90 to 912 of the family's 3401-position model. Lineage: Eukaryota; Fungi; Ascomycota; Eurotiomycetes; Onygenales; Arthrodermataceae. The record is from RNAcentral.